This is a long non-coding RNA of Mus pahari (shrew mouse), 1463 nucleotides long. RefSeq lists it as uncharacterized. The record is from RefSeq and is a predicted model, not a curated record. NCBI's taxonomy places the organism in Eukaryota, Metazoa, Chordata, Mammalia, Rodentia, Muridae. The transcript has 3 exons.
AGGUAAGAUUUAUACCCAGCAUGGGAUAGGAAGCGAGAAGCAGGUCUGAGUAGCGGAGGACAAGGAGAACAACAGGCAACUACUCUACUCUCUGUAAACAAGCUACAGUUUGUCUUCGUUAGGAAAAUCUUGGCUGCCAAGCAUAAAGCAUACAUACUCAAAGAUGUUGUGCAGAAUCCACAUGAAGACCAAGCUGCACAUCUGCUACAUAUGUGCAGGGAGGUCUAGGUCCAGCCCGUGUAUGUUCUUUGGUUGGUGGUUCAGACUCUGAGGGCCCCAAGGGUCCAGACAUCCUGGACGAGCCUGCGGGAGGCUUCGAAGAGACGCCUGAAGGAAACCAUCAUCCCAGCCACUAGGAUUUCAGCCCUGACCAUCAUAGGUCUGCUAAACUUUGGCCAACCUCUGGCAAUAGAGCAUUAGAGAUGCCAGAUAAGACCAAGAUCAGCAGCUCAGGUCUCCACAGUGGAAUCCCCAAAUGUCCUUUGGCUAACGAAAACUAGCCAAUGGCCAUUGGCUUUUAAGUCACUUAUUUGUGGAGUGGCAUGUUAACAAAGCGAUAACCAGUACUAAAUACCUCUUUGGAAGGCAAUUUCUCUUUUGGCUCUGUAUAUGUUAGACAUUUGAAGCAUGUGAGUUGUUCAGAUUCUGGGCUAUAACUCAACAAUUUAGCGUCUCGUCCAUAAUUAUAUACAUAUCACUGGCAUGCCACGUGGAAGUCACAUUUAGAGAUCUAAGUUCUAAUACAAAAUAGCAUAAAAACUGGUUAAAAUUUUUUUUUUCACUUCAGAAUUUAUGGUCACAGCACACAUACCAAGAUCACCCUAAAGGAACAUUAUUACCAUAAUGUUUUACCAAAAAAAGAAAGAAAAAAAGAAAAAAAAAAAAAAGAAAAAUGAACUUCAAAGGAACUGCUCUUAUUUCCAUCCAGCGUAACAAAGGAAGUCAAUGGCAGAGACUAUCCUUUGAUGACUAAUUUCUCUGUUCAGAAAUGGCCUCCAGCUGCUAUCCUGCCCAAACCAGCAGUGACAGCAAACCUGAGCAGAUGCUCAGGGCAGGGAGGGAAGAGCUGGCUUUGCAGGACCGGGCACUGUGUAGGGAGAGGAACAUCUCAGUGUUGGUGGUGGCUAGCACCGAGAUCUCCAACACACUGCACUGUUUGCCACUAGAAGGUUGAACCUGAAACUUAGCAUGUGUAAAAUUCUCCUAAGAGGGAGGCCUGGCCUCCAGAGACAGCUAUUGUGUGAAGCCUGUUGGAGAUGACAUUGGCACUACCCAUGUGGAGGAGCCCACCCUGCCGUGUAGACUCAAAUCCAGACCUGCAGCAUGACUAGGCUGUUUAUGGUUAUUAAUUUUGUCACAUUUUUGUCAACAUGGUGGAAAGAAAUUUUUUUUUCAUUCUAUUUUUUUCCUGGCUUCUUGAUAUGGUUCUUCUCAAAUGAAAGAAAAUAAACUAAAUUAACAAG